GGAGGGGGUUAGCGUUGUUCGGAAUUACUGGGCGUAAAGCGCGCGUAGGCGGAUUACAAAGUUGGGGGUGAAAUCCCGGGGCUCAACCUCGGAACUGCCUCCAAAACUGCUAGUCUAGAGUUCGAGAGAGGUGAGUGGAAUUCCGAGUGUAGAGGUGAAAUUCGUAGAUAUUCGGAGGAACACCAGUGGCGAAGGCGGCUCACUGGCUCGAUACUGACGCUGAGGUGCGAAAGUGUGGGGAGCAAACAGGAUUAGAUACCCUGGUAGUCCACACCGUAAACGAUGAAUGCCAGUCGUCGGGUAGUAUACUAUUCGGUGACACNCCUAACGGAUUAAGCAUUCCGCCUGGGGAGUACNGUCNCAAGAUUAAAACUCAAAGGAAUUGACGGGGGCCCGCNCAAGCGGUGGANCAUGUUGGUUUAAUUCGAAGCAACGCGCCAAAACCUUACCNACCCCUUGACAUCCUGUGCUACAUCCAAAGAUNGAUGGUUCCCUUCCNGGGACCCAGUGACAGGUGCUGCAUGGCUGUCCUCAGCUCGUGUCGUGAGAUGUUCGGUUAAGUCCGACNAACGAGCGCAACCCACAUCCCUAGUNGCCAGCAGUUCGGGUGGGCACUAUAUGGAAACUGCCCGUGAUAAGCGGGAGGAAGGUGUGGGAUGACGUCAAGUCCUCAUGGCCCUUACGGGUUGGGUUACACANGUGAUACAAUGGUAGUGACAAUGGGUUAAUCCCAAAAAGGUAUCUCAGUUCGGAUUGUCGUCUGCGACUCGACGGCAUGAAGUCGGAAUCGCUAGUAAUCGCGUAACAGCAUGACGCGGUGAAUACGUUCCCGGGCCUU
Molecule: ribosomal RNA, 838 nt
Filed under: uncultured Alphaproteobacteria bacterium
Lineage: Bacteria; Pseudomonadati; Pseudomonadota; Alphaproteobacteria
Description: bacterial SSU rRNA
Rfam family: Bacterial small subunit ribosomal RNA
Source: RNAcentral